Molecule: long non-coding RNA, 1217 nt
Organism: Daktulosphaira vitifoliae (grape phylloxera)
Lineage: Eukaryota; Metazoa; Arthropoda; Insecta; Hemiptera; Phylloxeridae
Exons: 5
Source: RefSeq, a predicted model, not a curated record
GUGUGAUCAACACUAUUAGAAAAAUAUUUUUAAAAUAUAAAACCAGUCUGAUUAGACUAACUGUACAUUCUCGUGAAUCUCGAAGAAAAAUCUCUUGAUUUUGUAAUUUUCAGAUGAUAACUGUUGUGCUCAGAUGACCGUGCUGGAGAUUGUUGAUAGUUUUAGAUUUAAUGCGCGGAAGGAGUAUGUUGUAUCCUAAGGAAUGCUUCAAUUAUGGCUCGGCCUUUGGGCCAAUUGGGGUUCUAAUGGAUAACGGAUUUAUUACAAGGAUCCUGGGAACUGCUUCGAUAUUGGCUCGGCCUGCCGACCAAGUACACUGGCUGUAAUCGUCAACAGAUUUAUUAGACUGACCGUGCAGGCCCUGGGAUAUCUCACCGUUUUCAAUUCUUUCGUACCCACGGCGUAUUGAACGUUCUGUGCUGUUGAUUUUCGUUAAGACCGUCCUCCCCUCACCAAAAAGAUCGCAAUAAAAAUCUGUCUGCAUUGUUGUUAUCGAUCGACCCGGUAACGUCUGGCUGUUUGACACGGAUCGCUGUGCGUUGUUCUCUUUUGGAGCUCAUCGAAAACGCCAGUAGACUUCUAUCAACCGUGUACUUCGAUAUUAUCUUUUUUAAUAGACCAUUUCUAUAGUAACAAUUAACAUGUAUUUUUAUUGUUCCCUGCGUGGAAAAUUACAUUGAAAUUUUUUAACGCUCAUUAUUUAAGUAUGGAAAAACACAUUAAAAUCCAAGCUGAUAAUUUAAAGUGAAAUAAUAAAUUCGCGGCGCAUCGUUUAUAAAAACUGUGAAUUUCGAAAAAAAAUUUUGAUUAAUUUCGAGUCUUUGAUUUCUCUAAAGUAAAUACCAUUACCGUAUACACUGGGGUAUUUUAUAAAUCCCCAAUCCGAUAAGAUUUUGUUUACAUCGAGUUUGUAAUGUUAACAACAAAACCAUUUAAAAGUGAGACAAAUAAUCUCGCCUGUAAACAUAUUUUUUUCUCUCAUAUGUCAACCGUGAUUUUCUUAUUGUUGUGUUCUUGAUUUUUACAAUGAUUUCUGCACUCGCCAUAAGCAUAUAUAUAUAGCAUAUACAUAUAUAUAUAUAUAUAUAUCGUUUUGUAUUUUUAUAUAUAUUUUCUUUGAACUAUUUUUUUUAAAUUGCUCCGAGCAAUUAUUCCAUACGAUUAUGUGUGCUUAUUUAUGUAAGCAAAAUAAAUUAAUAAUAAUCAUGAAAAUCAAU